Molecule: transfer RNA, 73 nt
Filed under: Bos taurus (domestic cattle)
Lineage: Eukaryota; Metazoa; Chordata; Mammalia; Artiodactyla; Bovidae
Also listed under: 3 other names
Rfam family: tRNA
About the family: Transfer RNA (tRNA) molecules are approximately 80 nucleotides in length.
Source: Rfam by way of RNAcentral
UCCCUGGUGGUCUGGUGGUUAAGGCACCGCACUUCCACUGCAGGGGGCCCAGGUUCUAUUCCUGGUUGGCGAG